This 609-nucleotide unclassified non-coding RNA is filed under the name Alternaria sp. SN. Its description in RNAcentral is "sequence contains ITS1, 5.8S rRNA gene, ITS2". The stretch from base 196 to 349 matches the Rfam family "5.8S ribosomal RNA". Lineage: Eukaryota; Fungi; Ascomycota; Dothideomycetes; Pleosporales; Pleosporaceae. The record is from RNAcentral.
CGUAGGUGAACCUGCGGAGGGAUCAUUUUACACAAAUAUGAAGGCGGGCUGGAACCUCUCGGGGUUACAGCCUUGCUGAAUUAUUCACCCUUGUCUUUUGCGUACUUCUUGUUUCCUUGGUGGGUUCGCCCACCACUAGGACAAACAUAAACCUUUUGUAAUUGCAAUCAGCGUCAGUAACAAAUUAAUAAUUACAACUUUCAACAACGGAUCUCUUGGUUCUGGCAUCGAUGAAGAACGCAGCGAAAUGCGAUAAGUAGUGUGAAUUGCAGAAUUCAGUGAAUCAUCGAAUCUUUGAACGCACAUUGCGCCCUUUGGUAUUCCAAAGGGCAUGCCUGUUCGAGCGUCAUUUGUACCCUCAAGCUUUGCUUGGUGUUGGGCGUCUUGUCUCUAGCUUUGCUGGAGACUCGCCUUAAAGUAAUUGGCAGCCGGCCUACUGGUUUCGGAGCGCAGCACAAGUCCGCACUCUCUAUCAGCAAAGGUCUAGCAUCCAUUAAGCCUUUUUUUCAACUUUUGACCUCGGAUCAGGUAGGGAUACCCGCUGAACUUAAGCAUAUCAAUAAGCGGAGGAAAAGAAACCAACAGGGAUUGCCCUAGUAACUGCGAGAA